RNAcentral lists this ribosomal RNA (361 nucleotides) under uncultured Rhizomicrobium sp. RNAcentral describes it as "bacterial SSU rRNA". It matches the Rfam family "Bacterial small subunit ribosomal RNA", at positions 505 to 868 of the family's 1533-position model. Lineage: Bacteria; Pseudomonadati; Pseudomonadota; Alphaproteobacteria; Micropepsales; Micropepsaceae. The record is from RNAcentral.
GUGCCAGCAGCUGCGGUAAUACGAAGGGGCUAGCGUUGUUCGGAAUUACUGGGCGUAAAGCGCGCGCAGGCGGCCAUUCAAGUCAGGGGUGAAAGCCCAGAGCUCAACUCUGGAACUGCCUUUGAAACUGUAUGGCUUGAGUAUGAGAGAGGUGAGUGGAAUUCCCAGUGUAGAGGUGAAAUUCGUAGAUAUUGGGAAGAACACCGGUGGCGAAGGCGGCUCACUGGCUCAUUACUGACGCUCAGGCGCGACAGCGUGGGGAUCAAACAGGAUUAGAUACCCUGGUAGUCCACGCCGUAAACGAUGAACGCUAGCCGUUGGCCAGCUUGCUGGUCAGUGGCGCAGCUAACGCAUUAGCGUU